Molecule: ribosomal RNA, 497 nt
Filed under: uncultured bacterium
Lineage: Bacteria
Description: partial 16S ribosomal RNA
Rfam family: Bacterial small subunit ribosomal RNA
Source: RNAcentral
GACGAACGCUGGCGGCGUGCCUAAUACAUGCAAGUAGAACGCUGAAGAGAGGAGCUUGCUCUUCUUGGAUGAGUUGCGAACGGGUGAGUAACGCGUAGGUAACCUGCCUGGUAGCGGGGGAUAACUAUUGGAAACGAUAGCUAAUACCGCAUAAAAUUGAUUAUUGCAUGAUAAUUAAUUGAAAGAUGCAACUGCAUCACUACCAGAUGGACCUGCGUUGUAUUAGCUAGUUGGUGAGGUAACGGCUCACCAAGGCGACGAUACAUAGCCGACCUGAGAGGGUGAUCGGCCACACUGGGACUGAGACACGGCCCAGACUCCUACGGGAGGCAGCAGUAGGGAAUCUGCGGCAAUGGGGGGAACCCUGACCGAGCAACGCCGCGUGAGUGAAGAAGGUUUUCGGAUCGUAAAGCUCUGUUGUAAGAGAAGAACGGGUGUGAGAGUGGAAAGUUCACACUGUGACGGUAUCUUACCAGAAAGGGACGGCUAACUACGUG